UAGCUAUUGACUGAAAUUACUGUUGAGAGUCCCAUUAUCAUUAAUUCAAAGGUUUCACCUUACGAGAAUUCUUAAAAAUUAUUAUUUGAUGGUGCAUGGUAUGCUUAUUUAUUACUACUACCGAUGAGCUAGUAAGAACUAACAAGUAUGUUUAUAAUUUGAAAGAAAACACAGUCAAGAACACAAAGUUAUUCCUCCCGAGAUUGUUACACUUGUUGUCAACAGUAUAACUAUAAAGUUUCAAAGUCUAAAAUCGUACCUGAUCAGUUGUAGAAUAUAGUUGCAGUACUCUGUAGUUGAAUAGAGUUUCUCUUUUCUGGAAAAAAUUUAUUUUAGUGUCUCAGUGGAGAAAAAACACGUUGGUUUCUUCUUUUAAGAUAGAGUUGAGUUUCUUCCUUUUUAUAUAUAUAUUAAAAUUAUACAUACAUAUUGUAUUUUAAGGAUUAAAUAUUGGACAAUCAUCCAAGUCAACAUUAGUUGUAAUAAACAUAUUGUAUGACAUGACAUACCGAUAAUUUGAUUGCUUUCCCUUUCUCGCUUUCUCCUUCACUUUGUCCUCCUCUUUCCAUUAUUGUAACUUUUCCUUUCAAUUUCUCAAGAUCUGAUGUAUAAAAUACACAUAAAACCUAAUCAGGAGAAAGAAUACAAUGAAACUGAAGAAAAGAAGCAUAAAAAAGCCAUAGCAGAAAACAUGAUUGGCUAAGAUCAUGGUUGACUAACCUUUUUUAUUGAUAUUGAAGAUGAAAAAUCUGUGAGAAUGCUUUCGAUCUCCUCUCUGUUGUUGUGUAUGUAUAAUGUAUGAAUUCGUGUGGAGGUGAAGAGAAGGAGAAGAUAUAAGGGAACUAGGGCACCAGAUCAUUUAUGUUGGGUAGAAAAAUGACAAAAAUAUGGUUGGGCAUUAAAUUUGAAAUAGUCUCUUG
This 920-nucleotide long non-coding RNA is filed under the name Nicotiana tabacum (common tobacco). Its description in RNAcentral is "long non-coding RNA (NTAB_LNC018462)". Lineage: Eukaryota; Viridiplantae; Streptophyta; Magnoliopsida; Solanales; Solanaceae. The record is from RNAcentral.